AAUGAACGCUGGCGGUAUGCCUAACACAUGCAAGUCGAACGAGACCUCCGGGACUAGUGGCGCAUGGGUGCGUCACGCGUGGGAACCUGGCCUUAGACUUGGAAUAACACUUCGACAGGGGUGCUAAUACAGGAUAACUUCUUCGGAUCACAGAUUCAUCGCCUUUGGAUGGGCAGGCGUUGGUCUGGCUAGUUGCUAUGGUAUAAGCCUACCACGGCGACGCUCCAUAGCUGGUCAGAGAGGAUGAUCGGCCACACUGAGGCUGUGACGCGGUCCAGACUCCUACGGGAGGCGGCGGUGGGGAAUAUUGGACUAUGGGCGAAAGCAUGAACCACUUAUGCCGCGUGAGUGAUGAAGUUCUUAGGGUUGUAAAGCUCUUUUACCCGGGAUUGUACUGACAGUACCGAGAGAAUAAGCUCCGGCUAACUCCGUG
This 433-nucleotide ribosomal RNA is filed under the name uncultured bacterium. RNAcentral's name for it is "partial 16S ribosomal RNA". It matches the Rfam family "Bacterial small subunit ribosomal RNA", at positions 29 to 507 of the family's 1533-position model. The record is from RNAcentral.